CUACGGGUGGCUGCAGUGGGGAAUCUUGGACAAUGGGCGCGAGCCUGAUCCAGCCAUGCCGCGUGAGUGAUGAAGGCCUUAGGGUCGUAAAGCUCUUUCGCCAGGGAUGAUAAUGACAGUACCUGGUAAAGAAACCCCGGCUAACUCCGUGCCAGCAGCCGCGGUAAUACGGAGGGGGUUAGCGUUGUUCGGAAUUACUGGGCGUAAAGCGCGCGUAGGCGGACCAGAAAGUUGGGGGUGAAAUCCCGGGGCUCAACCCCGGAACGGCCUCCAAAACUCCUGGUCUUGAGUUCGAGAGAGGUGAGUGGAAUUCCGAGUGUAGAGGUGAAAUUCGUAGAUAUUCGGAGGAACACCAGUGGCGAAGGCGACUCACUGGCUCGAUACUGACGCUGAGGUGCGAAAGUGUGGGGAGCAAACAGGAUUAGAUACCCCGGUAGUC
This 439-nucleotide ribosomal RNA is filed under the name uncultured bacterium. Its description in RNAcentral is "partial 16S ribosomal RNA". It matches the Rfam family "Bacterial small subunit ribosomal RNA", at positions 339 to 795 of the family's 1533-position model. The record is from RNAcentral.